GAAAAGUUGAAAGGGAAGAAUGCUGAGUUGGAGCAAAUCGAUGAAAUUCAUGGGAGUGCUGUAUUGCAAAUCCAAGAGCAGCACAGGAAUACACUGGAGAAACUUGGAGAGACUGUUGCUGACUUCAAAAGCUACAAGAAGACAACAGCUGAAGAAAU
Neopelma chrysocephalum (saffron-crested tyrant-manakin) is the source of this 158-nucleotide long non-coding RNA. RefSeq lists it as uncharacterized. The record is from RefSeq and is a predicted model, not a curated record. The transcript has 3 exons. NCBI's taxonomy places the organism in Eukaryota, Metazoa, Chordata, Aves, Passeriformes, Pipridae.